GCGGGGGUACCCAAGCGGUCAACGGGGCAGGACUCAAGAUCCUGUGGCUUAGUGCCUUCGGGGGUUCGAAACGGAAAUCCUCCCCCCCGCA
Molecule: transfer RNA, 91 nt
Filed under: Candidatus Aenigmatarchaeota archaeon
Lineage: Archaea; Nanobdellati; Candidatus Aenigmatarchaeota
Description: tRNA-Leu
Rfam family: tRNA
About the family: Transfer RNA (tRNA) molecules are approximately 80 nucleotides in length. Their secondary structure includes four short double-helical elements and three loops (D, anti-codon, and T loops). Further hydrogen bonds mediate the characteristic L-shaped molecular structure. tRNAs have two regions of fundamental functional importance: the anti-codon, which is responsible for specific mRNA codon recognition, and the 3' end, to which the tRNAs corresponding amino acid is attached (by aminoacyl-tRNA synthetases). tRNAs cope with the degeneracy of the genetic code in two manners: having more than one tRNA (with a specific anti-codon) for a particular amino acid; and 'wobble' base-pairing, i.e. permitting non-standard base-pairing at the 3rd anti-codon position.
Source: RNAcentral